CCAUGACGUUGCUGAUGCUUCAACGGCAGGAGAAGCGAAGCGAUAUUUGCCUGAUUUUCGAAUCCAUGCUUCCAGUUAUGCAGUCAGCUGUCCUGUGAAGUAGUGUGUUCUUGCACGUAGCAUAUGCUGUGGCUCGUACAUCAAGUCCACAACACAUCUCCAAGUCAUGAUUUGACAAACGAGAAAAAUAAUAAGACACCAGUAUCAGAAGCAAACACUACAAAGAUGCAUCUUGAAGAACCAAAAUUAUUUGCUUUAUCUAUGCAGUUUAAAUUUAUUUCCCUGGCAUCUGUCCUUGUACUACUGUAACAUUGCACUAUUGGUACUAAAAUGCACAAUCUUUUGUACAAAGAAUGAAUUAAAACACUUAAAUUCUCA
Molecule: long non-coding RNA, 378 nt
Organism: Protopterus annectens (West African lungfish)
Lineage: Eukaryota; Metazoa; Chordata; Ceratodontiformes; Protopteridae
Exons: 2
Source: RefSeq, a predicted model, not a curated record